This 240-nucleotide unclassified non-coding RNA is filed under the name Hevea brasiliensis (rubber tree). The record is from RNAcentral. Lineage: Eukaryota; Viridiplantae; Streptophyta; Magnoliopsida; Malpighiales; Euphorbiaceae.
CCCCCACGCAUUUUUGGCUCAUAAAAUACCCCCUUCUGAUUUCUUCUUCUUCUUCUCUCUGUCUCUCUCUCUCUGUGCUGUUUCUAUAACUUCACUGCUGCAUUUGCUGAGCUCCUAUGUUUUGAGCGGUACCAAUGGAAAAGCCGGAGGAGGAUUAGGAAAGGGCAUUUCCGUCGGAGGCUGGGUGUUUCUCUCUCUAGAAAUUUCCCCUUUAGGUCUUUGUUUCUGGUUCCCUUUUUC